UCAAGCUACAAAGAGCGCAAGGGGAAUGCCUUGGCACCAAGAGCCGAUGAAGGACGCGACUAACUGCGAAAAGCCACGGGAAGCCGUAAGUAGGCAUUGAUCCGUGGAUAUCCGAAUGGAGCAAUCCGGCCGAAGUCAUGUUCGGUCAUCAUAUACUGAAUAAAUAGGUAUAUGAGGGGAACCGCCUGAACUGAAACAUCUAAGUAGGGCGAGGAAAAGAAAUCAACAGAGAUUCCGCUAGUAGUGGCGAGCGAACGCGGAAGAGGCCAAACCAGAGGUAGUAAUACCUUUGGGGUUAGGACCGGCAAUAUGUAUUGUUUAAGUUUAGCAGAAUGGUGUGGGAAAGCCAACGAAACAGUGUGAGAGUCACGUAUGCGAAAAGCGAGAACAGCUAGCCGAGUUCCAGAGUACCGCGGGACACGAGAAAUCCCGUGGGAACGUGGGGGGACCAUCCUCUAAGCCUAAAUACUACUUGGUGACCGAUAGAGAAUAGUACUGUGAAGGAAAGGUGAAAAGCACCCCGGGAGGGGAGUGAAAUAGAACCUGAAACCUUGUGCUUACAAGCACCGAGAGCCCGUCAAUGGGUGAUCGGGUACCUUUUGUAGAAUGGUCCGGCGAGUGAAUGUAUCUGGCAAGGUUAAGCACUUAAGGUGCGCAGCCGCAGCGAAAGCGAGUCUUAAUAGGGCGCAUGAAGUCAGAUGUAUUCGACCCGAAACCGGGUGACCUACCCAUGUCCAGGUUGAAGUGGAGGUAAAACUCCAUGGAGGACCGAACCGACUCCCGUUGAAAUGGUAGCGGAUGAGAUGUGGGUAGCGGAGAAAUUCCAAUCGAACCCGGAGAUAGCUGGUUCUCUCCGAAAUAGCUUUAGGGCUAGCCUUGAAAUAGAUUACCGGAGGUAAAGCACUGAAUUGGCUAGGGGCCGAGAGGUUACCGAACCUUAUCAAACUAAGAAUGCCGGAUAAUUGUUUUUCAGGAGUCAGACAGUGGGAGAUAAGUUUCAUUGUCAAAAGGGAAACAGCCCAGACCCACAGCUAAGGUCCCAAAGUAUCAUUAAGUGGAAAAGGAUGUGGAGUUGCACAGACAACCAGGAUGUUGGCUUAGAAGCAGCCACUCAUUAAAAGAGUGCGUAAUAGCUCACUGGUCGAGUGACUCUGCGCCGAAAAUUUAACGGGGCUAAAUGAUACACCGAAGCUUGGGAUGGUGAGCAAUUAACAAUUAACGAUUAACAAUUAACAAUUGAGGAAAAAGAGAUGAAAACAGAGAAUCUGAUAUUAAGUAAGAGUAUGGAUUUUGCAGUACGAAUUGUGAACCUAAACAGAUACUUAGUUGAAGAAAAGAAAGAGUAUGUAAUCUCGAAGCAGCUACUUAGAAGCGGAACAAGUGUAGGAGCAAACGUAAGAGAAGCCAAGUAUGGAGCAAGCAGAAGAGAUUUUGCAGCGAAAAUGGGAAUUUCAUUAAAAGAAAUUUCAGAAACAGAAUACUGGCUGGAGCUUUUGUUCAGAACAGAAUAUCUUUCCGAAGAACAAUACAAAAGCAUAAUAUGCGAUUGUAGUGAAGUAGCAAAAAUAAUAACAUCAAUUGUUAAGAAUUCAAAGGUUGAUUAGAAAAGAAAAUGAAAUUAACAGGGAACUGUUAAUUGUUCAUUGUUAAUUGUUAAUUGCUCACCGUGGUAGGAGAGCGUUGUAUGCGGGGUGAAGUCACAGCGGAAGCGGUGGUGGACUGCAUAGAAGUGAGAAUGCCGGAAUGAGUAGCGAGAAAUAUGUGAGAAUCAUAUUGGCCGAAAGUCUAAGGUUUUUGGAGGAAGGUUCGUCCGCUCCAAGUAAGUCGGGAGCUAAGGUGAGGCCGAAAGGCGUAGCCGAUGCACAUACGGUUGAUAUUCCGUAACCACCAAAAGAUUUAAACACAGGGACACCUUUAAAGGGCAUAACCCGGGCGAUGGUUGACUCGGGCGUAAGGGACCGAAAUUAAGUAGGGAAGUAUGCUUGGCAGAGGGCGAGAAAAGCUGUGUGAAUAUCUAAGGUGCCCGUACCGCAAACCGACACAGGUAGACAGGAAGAGAAUUCUAAGGCCAACGGGAGAAGGGUAGUUAAGGAACUCGGCAAAUUGACCCCGUAACUUCGGGAAAAGGGGUGCUGGUGC
Molecule: ribosomal RNA, 2139 nt
Filed under: Clostridia bacterium
Lineage: Bacteria; Bacillati; Bacillota; Clostridia
Description: partial 23S ribosomal RNA
Rfam family: Bacterial large subunit ribosomal RNA
Source: RNAcentral